AAUCUGAGGAGAUGUCAAAAGUCAUUCUUGCAACAAACAAAAUUGAUCCUGCUUUGCUAAAGCCUGGACGAAUAGGUUGGGAGAUCGAGUUCCCUCUUCCUGUCACCAAAACAAGGAGACGCAUUUACCAGAACACAGAUCCACACUUCAUGCAUGCCAUUGGCCUAUGAUGUGAACCUAGAAUAGUUUGUGAAGAUUAAGGAUGAAUUCUCUGGAGCUGAUAUCAAGGUUAUGUUUACUGAGGCCGGUUUGCUUUCUUUAGAGGAACACCAUAUGAAGGAAAUUUCUUUGUUCUUACUUGUAUCAUACUACAUUUUCUAGAAUAAUGCACCGAUUGCUGCUGUUUGUUCCCUAUUUUUGUAUAUUGGAUGGUACCAGGUAUGAAAGACUUUGUGUUCAUUGAUGCACGAUAUUUUGGCUAUACUAAAUUCAGAGGAGAGUAUAAAUUUCUAUUGUUUCUCCUAGUGAUAUUUGGGCUGUUGAUCAGUUUUUACAA
Long non-coding RNA from Papaver somniferum (opium poppy), 496 nucleotides. RefSeq lists it as uncharacterized. The record is from RefSeq and is a predicted model, not a curated record. NCBI's taxonomy places the organism in Eukaryota, Viridiplantae, Streptophyta, Magnoliopsida, Ranunculales, Papaveraceae. The transcript is spliced from 3 exons.